RNAcentral lists this ribosomal RNA (312 nucleotides) under uncultured Glomus. RNAcentral's name for it is "SSU rRNA". It matches the Rfam family "Eukaryotic small subunit ribosomal RNA", at positions 569 to 886 of the family's 1831-position model. Lineage: Eukaryota; Fungi; Glomeromycota; Glomeromycetes; Glomerales; Glomeraceae. The record is from RNAcentral.
AGCAGCCGCGGUAAUUCCAGCUCCAAUAGCGUAUAUUAAAGUUGUUGCAGUUAAAAAGCUCGUAGUUGAAUUUCGGGAUCAAUAUAUCGGUCGUGCUUCGGUAUGUACUGGUAUUAUUGGUUUCUCCCUUCUGACGAACUAUGAUGUCAUUAAUUUGGUGUUAUGGGGAAUCAGGACUGUUACUUUGAAAAAAUUAGAGUGUUUAAAGCAGGCACACGCUUGAAUACAUUAGCAUGGAAUAAUGAAAUAGGACGUUUGAUCUUAUUUUGUUGGUUUCUAGGAUCGACGUAAUGAUUAAUAGGGAUAGUUGGG